UCCGAGGCGAUAUUUACUGGCUUCUUGGAGGUGGAAACAUCCUCAUGAUCAGGAGAAGGGGAGUCCCGCAGCUGCAAAGAUGUGGACAUAUACGUGGGGGCAGACUCUGAAGUGACACUCCUCGAAGGUGCAUACUCACUCACCGUGGAAUGAGAUGCAGCUCUACCAGCUUCCCGGAUUAUCUUCCUGGUUUUCUUAAUUAACUCCCU
Molecule: long non-coding RNA, 209 nt
Filed under: Nicotiana benthamiana
Lineage: Eukaryota; Viridiplantae; Streptophyta; Magnoliopsida; Solanales; Solanaceae
Description: long non-coding RNA (NBEN_LNC020431)
Source: RNAcentral